GGAUGUGAGAGCAAUCUGGCUGAGACAUCUGUCUCCCCAUUGAUCUCCAGGGCUGAUUCGGCUGGUCUGGCUGGCUAGGCGGGUGUCCCCUUCCUCCCUCACCACUCCAUGUGCGUCCCUCCCGAAGCUGCGUGCUCUGUGGAAGAUGACGGCCUUCCCUGAGACAGACCAGUCUUCAGUGAAGGGUAUAGGAGUAGCUGUGUUCCCCUGCUAGAACCUCCAUACAAGCUCUCAAAUUAUUAAAUUUAUUUUUUAUUUAAGAAAGGAUAAGUUAACAAAACCGUAGUUAACUGUAGUUAAAGGAUAAGUU
Unclassified non-coding RNA from Erinaceus europaeus (western European hedgehog), 310 nucleotides. Its record names the gene 7SK. It matches the Rfam family "7SK RNA". Rfam says of the family: 7SK was discovered as an abundant small nuclear RNA in the mid-70s but a possible function has only recently been suggested. Two independent studies have found that 7SK RNA binds the CDK9/cyclin T complex (known as elongation factor P-TEFb). Lineage: Eukaryota; Metazoa; Chordata; Mammalia; Eulipotyphla; Erinaceidae. The record is from Ensembl.